AAUACUUGAAAACGGAACUUGCAACAGUGAAACAAAAUCAAGCUUGACAGAAGAAAAACAACGACACCAAUUUGUAGAUAGCUUGAUGAUAAUGAACGUUGUUCAAGCACCUAGCGCACGCUCGAAAAUUUUGGAUGAAGACUCGUUGACCAAUGAAAACACGACUUAUUCCAAGCAUGUUGAUGAUAAUAAAAGCUCUAGCGAGGACGAGGCUCCAAUACAAAAUAAUAACACCGAGUCGUCUAAAGAUAUGUUCAAAAGAAAUAUCGAUAAAUCACAUGAAUAUACAGUUUGGAAAAUCGUUGGCUUACGAGAACGAGGAAUCUGAUAUCGAAAGUGAAGAGGAAGCAAUCACCAAAAAAGAAAUGCGAGAAGAUUCAAAGCUUACUCCGUAAAGUUUGUGUAUACAGAUGUAUUAUUGUGAAAAGAGUACUCUAUGGAAUUUUAUUGACGUGGGAUAGUACAAGUAUUGUUUGUAAAAUAUAAUUAUUUGGAUGUGAUUGUACAUUGAGGUAGUUAAUAUACUUGUCAGUUUUCAACUUGGUACACCAAGCAGGAACAAAGAAUUACGAGAAGUGAUUUUCGUCAAAUAACGACCAAUGAUGUCAGUUGAAAACUUGGAAGACAGCUUUGAAAAAGAAUUAUAACAAAUAAAUUAAAAAUUACGUUUACAACAUUGCCAUUUGCCACUGAAGAAAUUAAAAUGGCAAGGAACUACCUAUAAGUGGUUUCCUUUUUUUCCCAUAAGAGUGAGCAAAUAAUUACAGGCAAAGUUGGCAAAAUUUCCGUUUUUAAAAAAUCCUA
Long non-coding RNA from Xenia sp. Carnegie-2017, 804 nucleotides. RefSeq lists it as uncharacterized. Lineage: Eukaryota; Metazoa; Cnidaria; Anthozoa; Malacalcyonacea; Xeniidae. The record is from RefSeq and is a predicted model, not a curated record. The transcript has 2 exons.